RNAcentral lists this ribosomal RNA (1223 nucleotides) under metagenome. Its description in RNAcentral is "bacterial SSU rRNA". It matches the Rfam family "Bacterial small subunit ribosomal RNA", at positions 8 to 1221 of the family's 1533-position model. The record is from RNAcentral.
AGAGUUUGAUCAUGGCUCAGAUUGAACGCUGGCGGCAGGCCUAACACAUGCAAGUCGAACGGUAACAGGAAGAAGCUUGCUUCUUUGCUGACGAGUGGCGGACGGGUGAGUAAUGUCUGGGAAACUGCCUGAUGGAGGGGGAUAACUACUGGAAACGGUGGCUAAUACCGCAUAACGUCGCAAGACCAAAGAGGGGGACCUUCGAGCCUCUUGCCAUCGGAUGUGCCCAGAUGGGAUUAGCUAGUAGGUGGGGUAACGGCUCACCUAGGCGACGAUCCCUAGCUGGUCUGAGAGGAUGACCAGCCACACUGGAACUGAGACACGGUCCAGACUCCUACGGGAGGCAGCAGUGGGGAAUAUUGCACAAUGGGCGCAAGCCUGAUGCAGCCAUGCCGCGUGUAUGAAGAAGGCCUUCGGGUUGUAAAGUACUUUCAGCGGGGAGGAAGGGAGUAAAGUUAAUACCUUUGCUCAUUGACGUUACCCGCAGAAGAAGCACCGGCUAACUCCGUGCCAGCAGCCGCGGUAAUACGGAGGGUGCAAGCGUUAAUCGGAAUUACUGGGCGUAAAGCGCACGCAGGCGGUUUGUUAAGUCAGAUGUGAAAUCCCCGGGCUCAACCUGGGAACUGCAUCUGAUACUGGCAAGCUUGAGUCUCGUAGAGGGGGGUAGAAUUCCAGGUGUAGCGGUGAAAUGCGUAGAGAUCUGGAGGAAUACCGGUGGCGAAGGCGGCCCCCUGGACGAAGACUGACGCUCAGGUGCGAAAGCGUGGGGAGCAAACAGGAUUAGAUACCCUGGUAGCCCACGCCGUAAACGAUGUCGACUUGGAGGUUGUGCCCUUGAGGCGUGGCUUCCGGAGCUAACGCGUUAAGUCGACCGCCUGGGGAGUACGGCCGCAAGGUUAAAACUCAAAUGAAUUGACGGGGGCCCGCACAAGCGGUGGAGCAUGUGGUUUAAUUCGAUGCAACGCGAAGAACCUUACCUGGUCUUGACAUCCACGGAAGUUUUCAGAGAUGAGAAUGUGCCUUCGGGAACCGUGAGACAGGUGCUGCAUGGCUGUCGUCAGCUCGUGUUGUGAAAUGUUGGGUUAAGUCCCGCAACGAGCGCAACCCUUAUCCUUUGUUGCCAGCGGUCCGGCCGGGAACUCAAAGGAGACUGUUAGUGAUAAACUGGAGGAAGGUGGGGAUGACGUCAAGUCAUCAUGCCCCUUACGACCAGGGCUACACAC